RNAcentral lists this ribosomal RNA (1451 nucleotides) under uncultured organism. RNAcentral describes it as "16S ribosomal RNA". It matches the Rfam family "Bacterial small subunit ribosomal RNA". The record is from RNAcentral.
AUUGAACGCUGGCGGCAGGCCUAACACAUGCAAGUCGAACGGUAACAGGAAACAGCUUGCUGUUUCGCUGACGAGUGGCGGACGGGUGAGUAAUGUCUGGGAAACUGCCUGAUGGAGGGGGAUAACUACUGGAAACGGUAGCUAAUACCGCAUAACGUCGCAAGACCAAAGAGGGGGACCUUCGGGCCUCUUGCCAUCGGAUGUGCCCAGAUGGGAUUAGCUAGUAGGUGGGGUAACGGCUCACCUAGGCGACGAUCCCUAGCUGGUCUGAGAGGAUGACCAGCCACACUGGAACUGAGACACGGUCCAGACUCCUACGGGAGGCAGCAGUGGGGAAUAUUGCACAAUGGGCGCAAGCCUGAUGCAGCCAUGCCGCGUGUAUGAAGAAGGCCUUCGGGUUGUAAAGUACUUUCAGCGGGGAGGAAGGGAGUAAAGUUAAUACCUUUGCUCAUUGACGUUACCCGCAGAAGAAGCACCGGCUAACUCCGUGCCAGCAGCCGCGGUAAUACGGAGGGUGCAAGCGUUAAUCGGAAUUACUGGGCGUAAAGCGCACGCAGGCGGUUUGUUAAGUCAGAUGUGAAAUCCCCGGGCUCAACCUGGGAACUGCAUCUGAUACUGGCAAGCUUGAGUCUCGUAGAGGGGGGUAGAAUUCCAGGUGUAGCGGUGAAAUGCGUAGAGAUCUGGAGGAAUACCGGUGGCGAAGGCGGCCCCCUGGACGAAGACUGACGCUCAGGUGCGAAAGCGUGGGGGAGCAAACAGGAUUAGAUACCCUGGUAGUCCACGCCGUAAACGAUGUCGACUUGGAGGUUGUGCCCUUGAGGCGUGGCUUCCGGAGCUAACGCGUUAAGUCGACCGCCUGGGGAGUACGGCCGCAAGGUUAAAACUCAAAUGAAUUGACGGGGGCCCGCACAAGCGGUGGAGCAUGUGGUUUAAUUCGAUGCAACGCGAAGAACCUUACCUGGUCUUGACAUCCACGGAAGUUUUCAGAGAUGAGAAUGUGCCUUCGGGAACCGUGAGACAGGUGCUGCAUGGCUGUCGUCAGCUCGUGUUGUGAAAUGUUGGGUUAAGUCCCGCAACGAGCGCAACCCUUAUCCUUUGUUGCCAGCGGUCCGGCCGGGAACUCAAAGGAGACUGCCAGUGAUAAACUGGAGGAAGGUGGGGAUGACGUCAAGUCAUCAUGGCCCUUACGACCAGGGCUACACACGUGCUACAAUGGCGCAUACAAAGAGAAGCGACCUCGCGAGAGCAAGCGGACCUCAUAAAGUGCGUCGUAGUCCGGAUUGGAGUCUGCAACUCGACUCCAUGAAGUCGGAAUCGCUAGUAAUCGUGGAUCAGAAUGCCACGGUGAAUACGUUCCCGGGCCUUGUACACACCGCCCGUCACACCAUGGGAGUGGGUUGCAAAAGAAGUAGGUAGCUUAACCUUCGGGAGGGCGCUUACCACUUUGUGAU